ACUUGCUGUACGUGUGGCACGAGGUGACCGGCCUGCUGGCAGACUACCAUCCUGAACACCCUGUGCCAGCAGGCCAGACUUGCUGUACGUGUGGCACGAGGUGACCGGCCUGCUGGCAGGCUACCUAUCCGUGAGCCAUCCUGAACACCCUGUGCCAGCAGGCCAGUUGCUGUGCGUUUGGCACGAGGUGACGGGCCUGCAUGUGGGCCACCUGUCGGUACUGCUUUUCCUACUGCAAUCGGGGGUGCUAUCCGACCAGCGGCUUCGUGAAGGCCUCGCCUACCCGUAUGCGGUCCUCAACACGUGAUUCCAGCAGGCCAGUUGCUGUGCGUGUGGCAGGAGGAGGUGACAGGCCUACCUACAGGUGGGCCACCUAUCGGUACUGAUUUUCCAACUGCCAUCGGGGGUGCUAUACGACCACCGGCUUGGUGAAGGCCUCGCCUA
Molecule: long non-coding RNA, 444 nt
Organism: Rhipicephalus sanguineus (brown dog tick)
Lineage: Eukaryota; Metazoa; Arthropoda; Arachnida; Ixodida; Ixodidae
Exons: 4
Source: RefSeq, a predicted model, not a curated record